Molecule: long non-coding RNA, 1206 nt
Filed under: Anser brachyrhynchus (Pink-footed goose)
Lineage: Eukaryota; Metazoa; Chordata; Aves; Anseriformes; Anatidae
Description: lncRNA (ENSABRG00000007312.1)
Source: RNAcentral
CGAAAGCUCGGGUUCCUUCAGCCAGCUGAAGGGAAACGCGGACAGCCGGGCUUGCAGGGCCGGGUCGCGGCCCCACGGCUUUCUGCGGGGACAACGCCAGGCCUGGGCGGGGCGAGGGGGGUGGUGGGGUACAAAGGGAGCCUCCGUGCGGCCGUUCCGCGGCUCGGCACUUUGCCGCCGCUCCCUUGCGGCCAGCCGCCGGCCUCGCACAUUCUCCCCGCUCCCUGGCGCCGGCCAGGGGGAGGGAGGGGGAGAGGAGGAGGAGGAGGAGGAGGAGGGGCGGGGUGCGGGCCGCGCCUGCGCAGUGCCGCCGCCGGGGCGCUGCGGCAGUCGUGCGGGGCACUUCUUCCGAGCGCGGCAAGGAGGUCAGGAAAGGAACGAGUUGCGCUGUCUGUAUGCAGAAGGGAAGUUCGCGCUGCUCCGAGCGCUUUGAAACACCCACAGGCUCCACGUUACCUGGGUUUCAUCCCGGUGCCCGCUCGGUCGGCACGUCUGUCUGCGGGGCUUUCUUCUCGUAGGCAGAGAGCUGCGGCGUGGGACUGCUCGCCAAGAGCAGAGGGCAGGAGAGGUUUUGGGUGAGCUCCUCUCUGAUCCGCGCGGUGAGCGGCGAGCGCGUGUCCAGCCGCUGGUGUGGGGAGGCAGAGGGUGAAGGGUGGCUGCUAACUGGGAGCAACGCAGGGAAGGUGAGCGUUGUCCUUCUGGCCUGGGUGAGCAUUUCAGGAGUGUUAGGGCCAGCCCAGGAGUGACGUGGGUGAGCUGAGCCUGGGAGCACAGGGUUCUUGCCUUUCCCACCUGGAAGGCUAGACCAGCCUCAGGGAAGGCUUUGUGGAAGAGAGGUGGGUAACCAUUAUUUAAGGGCAGAAGUAGGAACCCCAUGGAAUCUGUCAUAGGCUGGUGUGCUUCUGGAGUGCGAUAUGCUAGGGGAACUGAGAAUCAAGACCUUCUUUACUAAAUUAUUUCUGUAUUUAUCUUCACAGUGCCCUUUGUAGCCAAGGAGUGUCAUUAUUUUGCAUUGUUUGUGUUUUGUGAACAACGAACAAGUUGAAAACUGUCUCAGUGUUGUAUAUGAAGUCUUUGGCCAUGCUGGAUAUUAAGGCUUUCUCUCCUUUGUCCAGUUCCGUUCCAUAGUCCUCCACUCACCCUUCUUUUGGAAAAACAGGCUCAUUUGUCAAUAAAGUAAUUGUUCUGCCCGUUAUUGAUAGGUAA